CGAGAAAUCGGGACUGCCCGCAAGGGACACCAACAGAGGUGCUGCAUGGCUGUCGUCAGCUCGUGCCGUGAGGUGUUGGGUUAAGUCCCGCAACGAGCGCAACCCUUACUCUUAGUUGCCACCCGCAAGGGGGAACUCUAAGAGGACUGCUCCGGAUAACGGAGAGGAAGGUGGGGAUGACGUCAAGUCAGCAUGGCCUUUAUGUCCAGGGCUACACACGUGUUACAAUGCGCGCCACAAAGCGCUGCGAACCCGCGAGGGGGAGCUAAUCGCAAAAAAGCGCGCUCAGUUCGGAUUGCAGUCUGCAACUCGACUGCAUGAAGCCGGAAUCGCUAGUAAUGGCGUAUCAGAACGACGCCGUGAAUACGUUCCCGGGCCUUGUACACACCGCCCGUCACAUCACGAAAGCGGACUGUACUAGAAGUCGCCGAGCCAACCGCAAGGGGGCAAGCGCCCAAGGUAUGGUCCGUGAUUGGGGUGAAGUCGUAACAAGGUAAGCGUAGAUGA
This 507-nucleotide ribosomal RNA is filed under the name uncultured bacterium. RNAcentral's name for it is "bacterial SSU rRNA". It matches the Rfam family "Bacterial small subunit ribosomal RNA", at positions 1000 to 1509 of the family's 1533-position model. The record is from RNAcentral.